UGAUCCAGGACUGCAGGGAAGAACGUUUUUUCCUCAACAUGUGGCUUUUAUCUCUAAAUGCAAGGCUGUCACUCAACUCAUUUCCACUUCCCAAUCAGGGAAGGUGGGAGGAGGAAGGGGAAGGCAAACAGCUUCCCUCUCUUCCAGCAACUUCUCAUUUUGAAACAUUUCGAACCUACAGAACAAAAUAGAAAGAUUUUUUUAAAAAAUGGAGCCAAGAGCCUUUUAGCUAGAUUUAUUAAUUGUGGAUAUUUUGCCAUUGGUUUUUAACUCUAUAUAAGUAGGAUAAUGCUGAAAGUUACACAAAGGAGCAUGUCUUAUCAUAUAAAAGGAAGGUCAACAAGCCAGUUAGAAACAUUCCAAUGGAAACGGUUGAUUUGAUAAGAAAUGUUGUGGAUGAUUUUCCUUUUUAUUCCCUUUUUUAUUAGAAUGCUUGCCCCACAAACAAAAACACAAAUAAGAGAGAAGAUUUUUUUAAAGAAGAAAAGCAUCGAAUCCGCAGCAGAACGCUAGCAGCCUAGCCUCUCCAAGUGAAGAAUAAGAAGAUAAAGAGAGUGAAGUACUUCGAGACUAAAAAUUUACCCAAGGUUACAAAGCUGAAAAAACACAGGUUACAGCAGCACUACGCCCGGAUCUCCCACCACCAGCCUUUGGAGAGACCUCGGAGUGCAUCUUCAGAAACUCUGCAUGGAAGAGAAAAGAGGGAAGGAAGCUGUGAUAGUUCCCGGAAGGAGAAAGGCCACCGUAAGUGUGAAAAUAGUAAAAGAGUUCCGGUAGCUAAGAGCAUUGACUACAGGAAAGAAACUGCAGAGUGACCUGAGAUUCAAAAAAGCAGUUCUGGAAAGACUGGGGAAGGAAAGGAUGGAAAAGUAGAAGGAAUCUUCAUAUACUUCAUAGAGAAAGCAAAAAGAAACAUCAGAGAAAGAUUCAAAGACUCAAGAUCCUCCAAGACAAAAGAAAACAAACAAACAAACAAAAGGACACACAGACACUAUUUGGGCCAAAUACAUUUUUUUUCUUAUUGAAGUAUAGUGAGAUUUAUUCUGUGCAUUGAACAAUGUUUGACAAUA
This is a long non-coding RNA of Felis catus (domestic cat), 1070 nucleotides long. RefSeq lists it as uncharacterized. The transcript is spliced from 3 exons. The record is from RefSeq and is a predicted model, not a curated record. NCBI's taxonomy places the organism in Eukaryota, Metazoa, Chordata, Mammalia, Carnivora, Felidae.